Non-coding RNA from Camelina sativa (false flax), 649 nucleotides. NCBI's taxonomy places the organism in Eukaryota, Viridiplantae, Streptophyta, Magnoliopsida, Brassicales, Brassicaceae. The record is from RefSeq and is a predicted model, not a curated record.
UAUAUUGCAAAACACAUGGGGAUGAGAUCUACGCCACAUAACGCGAUACAAAUCUUGCAUAACUUAAUUCUUAAGUAAUAAGACCAACUAGGAAGAUAUGAAUACUAUAGAUUAUCUGCUCAUGUUGGUGCACUCUAGAGACACGAAAACAUAGCUGUGACAGGAGUGUGUUAUUCACUUAUUUGUAUAAUUAUAUCAUGUCAAUGCUUCCAAUUACUUGACCUAGUCAUUUCCUUUGUUGUAACCAUUAGAAACUUGAGAUUGGGAGCUGAAGAGGCUAACGCAUUUGUGAGUACCUUUGUGUUUCUUGUUUAGCUUUUGAUGAUUGUCCAUAUUAUACAAAGCUAUUUUUAUAUGCAGUCUUAGGAGUCAACUCAAUUCAUAACAAGAGGCUUCCCGUGGGAAACAGAUCUGUAAAUGAUAUUGUUAUUAAGGAAAUGGGCUCUACGUUCCUGCGAUCAAGCAAGAAUUUAACUGGGAUACAAGCAUGAAAAAAAUAGGUCAAGAAAGAUUAAGAAACAAGCAGUCUAUUCUUUGUCAAAGAACUUGGCCUAGUGGAAGCAUACAAGGUGAUUGAAAUGUUAAUUAGCGAGAAAAAUGAACAUGUCGAGACAAUUGAGUAUUUGAAAGAAGUUGCUGACAAGCUUCU